RNAcentral lists this small nuclear RNA (99 nucleotides) under Lynx canadensis (Canada lynx). Lineage: Eukaryota; Metazoa; Chordata; Mammalia; Carnivora; Felidae. The record is from RNAcentral.
GUGCUCACUUCAGCAGAUAUACCAAAAUUGGAAAGUUAUGGAGAUGACCAGGGCGCACGCAAGGAUGACACACAAAUUCAUGAAGUGUUCCAUAUUCUU